RNAcentral lists this unclassified non-coding RNA (378 nucleotides) under plant metagenome. RNAcentral describes it as "partial contains 5.8S ribosomal RNA, internal transcribed spacer 2, and large subunit ribosomal RNA". The stretch from base 1 to 105 matches the Rfam family "5.8S ribosomal RNA", at positions 50 to 154 of the family's 154-position model. The record is from RNAcentral.
GAAAUGCGAUAAGUAAUGUGAAUUGCAGAAUUCAGUGAAUCAUCGAAUCUUUGAACGCACCUUGCGCUCCUUGGUAUUCCUUGGAUCAUGCCUGUUUGAGUAUCAUGAAAUCUUCAAAGUAAAUCUUUUGUUAACUCAAUUGGCUUCUACUUUGGUAUUGGAGGUCUUUGCAGCUUCACACCUGCUCCUCUUUGUUCAUUAGCUGGAUCUCAGUGUUAUGCUUGGUUCCACUCGGCGUGAUAAGUUAUCUAUCGCUGAGGACACUGUAAAAGGUGGCCAAGGUAAAUGCAGAUGAACCGCUUCUAAUAGUCCAUUGACUUGGACAAUACUUUUAUGAUCUGAUCUCAAAUCAGGUAGGACUACCCGCUGAACUUAAGC